CAGUAGCCGCGGUAAUACGCAGGGUGCGAGCGUUAAUCGGAAUUACUGGGCGUAAAGCGUGCGCAGGCGGUUAUAUAAGACAGAUGUGAAAUCCCCGGGCUCAACCUGGGACCUGCAUUUGUGACUGUAUAGCUAGAGUACGGUAGAGGGGGAUGGAAUUCCGCGUGUAGCAGUGAAAUGCGUAGAUAUGCGGAGGAACACCGAUGGCGAAGGCAAUCCCCUGGACCUGUACUGACGCUCAUGCACGAAAGCGUGGGGAGCAAACAGGAUUAGAUACCCCCGUAGUCCCUGUCUCUUAUAC
This 301-nucleotide ribosomal RNA is filed under the name uncultured bacterium. RNAcentral describes it as "partial 16S ribosomal RNA". It matches the Rfam family "Bacterial small subunit ribosomal RNA", at positions 509 to 807 of the family's 1533-position model. The record is from RNAcentral.